CUUCUCUUUUGGCAGCACAUAUACUAAUAUUGUAAUGAUACAGAGAAGAUUAACAUGACCCUGUGCACACAGUCUUUUAAUGAAUGGUAAACUUCUUUU
Molecule: small nuclear RNA, 99 nt
Filed under: Sorex araneus (European shrew)
Lineage: Eukaryota; Metazoa; Chordata; Mammalia; Eulipotyphla; Soricidae
Source: RNAcentral